CAUAUGAUANNGACAUUUCCUACCUGUGUGUCUCGACCAAAUUACGUGCCAGCAGUCGCGGUAAUACGUGGGAGACUAGUGUUAUUCGUCUUAAGCAGGUAUAUAGGGUACCUAGACGGUCCUUUCAGCCCCUAAAGGGUACUGUUUGUACUAGAGUUUUAUGAGAGGGGGGGUGUACUAAUGGUGUAGAGAUGAAAUUCAGUCAUACCAUUAUGAACAGGCAACAGCGAAGGCAACCCUUUAUGUGUAAACUGACGUUGAAGGACGAAGGCUUGGUCCACCAAUAGGAUUAGAUACCCUAGCAGUCCAAGCAGACAAUGAUGAAUGUCAUAGACUGAAUAAUUCCAUAUGUUUAUGGUCGCAGUAAACAAUUAGGUUUGCUCCCACAUACAUAGAAUAUCUGGAAUUAAUAAUUUUGUCUAUAAAUGAAAGUGUAAGCAUUCCACCUCAAGAGUAACGUGGCAACGCGUAAACUGAAAUCAUUAGACCGUAUCUGAAACCAGUAGUGAAGUAUGUUGUUUAAUUUGAUAAUCCGCAAAAAACCUUACCACAAUUUGUAUGUUUAGAGAUAAAAUACAAGUGUUGCACGGCUGUCUUCAGUUAAUGUCGUGAGAUUUUGGUUAGUUCCAUUAAAUUAACGUAAACCCUUACUUUAUUUUAGUAAAUAGAGUAGUUCGCCGCUAUAUUGGAGAUGAUAACAGGGACUAAGACAAGUCAUCAUGGCCCGAAUAUUGUGGGCUAUA
This 743-nucleotide ribosomal RNA is filed under the name Ochrolechia sp. Spribille 38907. RNAcentral describes it as "SSU rRNA". It matches the Rfam family "Bacterial small subunit ribosomal RNA", at positions 460 to 1218 of the family's 1533-position model. The record is from RNAcentral. Lineage: Eukaryota; Fungi; Ascomycota; Lecanoromycetes; Pertusariales; Ochrolechiaceae.